Molecule: ribosomal RNA, 195 nt
Filed under: Hysterangium spegazzinii
Lineage: Eukaryota; Fungi; Basidiomycota; Agaricomycetes; Hysterangiales; Hysterangiaceae
Description: partial small subunit ribosomal RNA
Rfam family: Bacterial small subunit ribosomal RNA
Source: RNAcentral
CUAUCUAAUGAUCGACGCUGAGAAACGAAGGGGAGGAUCGACAAUAGGAUUAGAUACCCUGGCAUCCCUCUCUGUAAACGAUGAAUGGUAGUUGCUAAUAAUAAUAAUUAGUGACGAGGCUAACGCGUUAACCAUUCCGCCUUGUGAGUACGACUGCAAAGUUGAAAACAAAAAAAUUAGUCGGUUUCGGAGCAA